Molecule: ribosomal RNA, 1080 nt
Filed under: Triticum aestivum (bread wheat)
Lineage: Eukaryota; Viridiplantae; Streptophyta; Magnoliopsida; Poales; Poaceae
Description: partial small subunit ribosomal RNA
Source: RNAcentral
AUGGAUUCGGACCGCUUCAACGUCGAUGAGCUGAAGCAUAUCUUGCGCGACGGUUCUUCCGCGGCGAAGAUUGACUGGGGCAACGAGGAGCACCGCCGCUGCGUCGUCGCCUGCAUGGUCAAAGGUGCUUACGUCCUGGAGAGCGACAGAGCGACGAUGGACAGGAGGGAGGAGCUCGCGCCGGCGUGGUGGGAGAGCUUUGGCUUCCACCUCGAGAAUGAACUCAGAGAGCAGAAGCCCCCCAUCUUCGAAACCAUCUAUGGUGCCAUCUUCAAGUACGCGCCCUGCCCCCGCACGCCUCCCCACCCGCGUGCUCCACGGUAUGUCGUCGCCUUUAGGGGCACCAUGCGCAAGCACCCCGAGUGGUCGGUAGCGACACAAGACAUCUACCUUGACUUCAAAAUACUGACCAACAAACUGAAGAAACGCACGCGCUCCAAGCUGGCGUACGCGGCGGUAGACAAACUUAUGGAUGGCGAAGCCGGCCUAGGAGGCGACGACGUCUGGCUCGCCGGGCACUCUCUCGGCGCAUCACUGGCGCUGGACGUGGGUCGGGACAUGAUGGAGAGGCGAGAGCUGAACCUGCCGACCUUCCUCUUCAACCCGCCGCAGGUGUCGCUGACGGCGGCCAUGAACUUGCUGAACGCGCAGGACGUGGCCAAGAGGCACCUGCACUUCACGAGUUACCUCUUCAAGGCCGGUGCGGCAACGGUCUCGGGUCGCCACCAGAAGCGCAUGGAGAAGCUGUUCGACCGGCUUUCCCCAUGGGUGCCGAAUCUGUACCUGCACGAGAAGGACUGGAUCUGCCAGGGCUUCAUCGACUACUUCGAGCUGCGGCAGCGGUUCGUGGACCGAUUUCCCUGUGUUGCAAGCAAGUUCAUGACACUGUCGUACCGUGACAUGCUCUGGCGCCUGCUUGGCAAGGUCAAGGAGCGGCCGCACCUCCUUCCAUCGGCGAUGCUGUGGAAGACCGCGCAAAGCAGCCUCAACGCGCACGGGCUCCAGCAGUGGUGGAAACCGAAUGCCGAGCUCGGCUUGGGCGCCGGCACGCGUUAUAGCUACCCUGUACCUCAAGCAUAA